Long non-coding RNA from Octopus sinensis (East Asian common octopus), 156 nucleotides. RefSeq lists it as uncharacterized. The record is from RefSeq and is a predicted model, not a curated record. NCBI's taxonomy places the organism in Eukaryota, Metazoa, Mollusca, Cephalopoda, Octopoda, Octopodidae. The transcript has 2 exons.
AUUCUUCAAAGUGGUGCCCCAGCUUGGCCGCAAUGUGGUAAAUUUUAAUCCUUUCACCUGCAGGAUUUUCACUAAGAAAAAAAGAAGAAAAAAACUCGGAUUUUUGGCGUUGAAUCAAGUACCCUGAGCUCCUUAUAUACUGCAAACUCCUUUUUU